AACGAACGCUGGCGGCAUGCCUAACACAUGCAAGUCGAACGAGAUCUUCGGGUCUAGUGGCGCACGGGUGCGUAACGCGUGGGAAUCUGCCCUUUGGUUCGGAAUAACAGUUGGAAACGACUGCUAAUACCGGAUGAUGACGAAAGUCCAAAGAUUUAUCGCCAAAGGAUGAGCCCGCGUAGGAUUAGCUAGUUGGUGUGGUAAAGGCGCACCAAGGUGACGAUCCUUAGCUGGGCUGAGAGGAUGAUCAGCAACACUGGGACUGAGACAAGGCCCCAACACCUACGGGAAGCAGCAGUGGGGAAUAUUGGACAAUGGGCGAAAGCCUUAUCCAGCAAGGCCGCGUGAGUGAUGAAGGCCUUAGGGUUGUAAAGCUCUUUUACCCGGGAUGAUAAUGACAGUACCGGGAGAAUAAGCUCCGGCUAACUCCGUGCCAGCCGCCGCCGUAA
RNAcentral lists this ribosomal RNA (449 nucleotides) under uncultured bacterium. RNAcentral's name for it is "partial 16S ribosomal RNA". It matches the Rfam family "Bacterial small subunit ribosomal RNA", at positions 29 to 523 of the family's 1533-position model. The record is from RNAcentral.